Molecule: ribosomal RNA, 254 nt
Filed under: uncultured bacterium
Lineage: Bacteria
Description: partial 16S ribosomal RNA
Rfam family: Bacterial small subunit ribosomal RNA
Source: RNAcentral
UACGUAGGGGGCAAGCGUUGUCCGGAAUCAUUGGGCGUAAAGAGCGUGUAGGCGGCUUCGUCAGUCCGUUGUGAAAGUCCAGGGCUCAACCCUGGAAUGCCGAUGGAUACUGCGGAGCUAGAGUCCGGAAGAGGCGAGUGGAAUUCCUGGUGUAGCGGUGGAAUGCGCAGAUAUCAGGAAGAACACCGACGGCGAAGGCAGCUCGCUGGGACGGUACUGACGCUGAGGCGCGAAAGCGUGGGGGAGCGAACAGG